AGCUCGGUGGUGUAGUGGUAGAGCACGCGUCUUCAGUAAGGAUGAAACGCGGAUUCGAUUCCCGUCUGAGGCCU
Parelaphostrongylus tenuis is the source of this 74-nucleotide non-coding RNA. Lineage: Eukaryota; Metazoa; Nematoda; Chromadorea; Rhabditida; Metastrongylidae. The record is from the annotation of a GenBank genome assembly.